Pipra filicauda (Wire-tailed manakin) is the source of this 3178-nucleotide long non-coding RNA. RefSeq lists it as uncharacterized. The transcript is spliced from 3 exons. Lineage: Eukaryota; Metazoa; Chordata; Aves; Passeriformes; Pipridae. The record is from RefSeq and is a predicted model, not a curated record.
GCCUUUAAACAGAAGUAGCUUUUGGAGAGAACUAUUUUGAACAUGCCUUGACAAGGAUAAACCUGCUCAUUUUAUACAAGAGUUCACUGUGUGCUUGAGGCAUACAGUAAGGCAAAACCAAGUCUUUUGCAUAGCCUAAAAGAAAAAAUUCUAGCUAUGUUGUGCUGAGCCAGAGUAGCUCCAGCACUUCAGUCUGGAGAUUUUCUGUUUUCCCUGGAAAAGGCUUCAUGAGCGAUAGAAAAGAGACUUCCCACAUCAUAUUCCAAGCUGUGGAGUAGGCACUUCCAGGAAAAGCCUGUGACUUCCUUGUACCCAGCCUGAUUUUCUGCGUAGACCUUCUGUUCCUGAGCCCUUGCACAUGCCAGGACGCUGCUUCUGUCUCAAGGUAAGGCAGGAGGGGCACGGCAUGGAAAAGGCAAAUGGUUUUGCAGGUGCUGAAUGUUCCUCCGGGGCUCCGUGUGCCACCCCUAGAGGGCUCCCGCCUUCCUUUGGCCAGAGGAGAGAACCAAAAAGCGGUGGGAAAGGGUGCGGGAUUUUGGCCAUGGCCACAGACUCCGCAGAAGAGCCCUCUGCAUAUUGUGUCAUUCCCUUAAUAUUUUCAUCUCGCGGGUGGACACUGGAAAGCUGAGUGGGAAACGUUUCUUUGCAUAAUAUAAUCCUUCCUUCCACAUGUCUUUUAAGAAGUUGCAGUGUUUCUGGCACUAAUUCUGUGAUUUGCUUUUUACUGGUUAAAAUCCAAGUAGCUGGUUCAGGUUGGGGCCCAGCUGCUCAAUAUCAGAUCUCUGAUAAUGGACAGCAGCAGUAAUUUGGGGAGAGUGCAAAAAGCCUUUUAAAUGGUAGGCAAGAAAUAAAUCUUUCAUGUAAAGAGUGGGACUAAACAAGUAUAGGUUAGAAUAAUAUUCUUUUUUUGCAUCUCUUAGUUGAGAUUAAAAAAAACUCUGAAGCCUUGUUUCGCUUUAUAUAAGACAUAAAAGGUACUUCUCUGUGUGUUUUUCGGGCUUCAGGAGAUACCUUUCUUUCAGUUGACAGCCCAGUUCGUUUAUGAAACCAAGUUCUGGUGGCAGUGUGGGGAAAGGACAAAAAAGUUAAACGAUGGAUAAGAAGACACUUCAGCCUUUCUGUAUAAUUAAUUAUAGUCAUUUAAAAUCUUGAGCAAAGUCUGUGUUUGGAGAAGUUUCAAAGUUAUAAUUAAGCCAAGCUGGUAACGAUGGAUCUAAUUGUUGGGUUACAGAUGGGUGCAGGUAAUGCGAGUUGGGCCACUGACAUCAGAUAUUUCACUCAAUUGUUUUCUACUGAUGCAGCUAAUUCCACACAACUGUUCCAGCAGCUGGACUGACCGGCAUGAGUUGAAGUGUGGAUGAACGUCAAGAGUUUUCCCUGACAGACUUAACUGGCUGAAGGUCGUUGGUCUUUAAAGUCACCUGAAGCCUCAUAUCUUUCAGAAGAACUGAAAUGUUGCUGUUGAGGCAAAGGUCGAAUUCAACAGUGCCAGGAGGCUUUGGUGUUGCACUGAACAGUCAGAAGUGUUUGCAAAGAGAAUCCCAAGCUACUGCUAGGAUCCAAACUUGGAAUGGUUUUUAAUAAGGCUUUGCAUUUGAGAUGUUGCUGUGUUUUAGAGAGUAUCCUGGAAAAGUCAACAGAGAUGUAAUGGAAAAAAAGAAAUAUAAAGAUCACAAUUCUGUCUGGGGAAACUGAGUUUUGUCUUAUGUAGUAAGCACCCAUCUUAACCCUGCUAGAGCAGAACAAACUCCCUUCUCCAGCAGAAACCUGAGUUUGUUGUUAAUUAACGUCUUGCUGGAAACUAAGUCUUUGCCAUCUGUUCCACCACCUCACUACGAAUGCCGCUCUCGUGUUGAUUAUGUAAGUAAAAAUGAAAAUAUAUUUUGAUGGAGUGCUGCACGGCACUGUGCUGACUCUUCUCCUGUUCCUAUUUACCAUUCCCUGCCCCCAUCCCACAAGGAAAGAAAAAGGUGACAAUUGUUUGACUUCUUGGCAGCUUUAUCCUGGAGCUGCCAUUAUGGCUGCCAAGCCCUGUGUGUUGUGGGAGCAGCCACCUCAUCCCUGCUGCAUUUGAGCUGGGAGCCCUUUGCAAACCCUGGUUAUUAGACUCAUGAAAAGUCCGUAUCAGGAAGAUGCUCCUUGAACUGAAGCUGCUCUAAAUUCUUGUGAGGGGUUAACUUGAAAUCCAGAAGAAGAAAAUUGAAAAGAAAAAGGCUAGGUUACUCCAUAAGUGAUAGCAUGACCUCUGAGAGCAGCCGGCUGCUCCUGUUACAAGCGUGGCCUCUGUCUGUCUAAGGGUGGAGGAAGAGAGAAAGAGGAGGGGUAGUUUUCCUGUAAGUGGGUUAGAGCAAUUACUGAGGUCUCUUACAGCAAAUGAAGUUGUCAGUGUGAGUCACAUUCCCUUUUUUCUCUCACUGCCAAGUUUUAGGCAGUAACCAGACAGAAGGAAGAAAAGAAAAAAAAAGGACAAGCAACAAUAGGGAAAAGUUGAACUGAAACAACCCUUCAUUCGGGGUAUUGUUUGACGUUUUUGCUCUGAUUGUACAUAGAGAUAAAGGAGCUAUAAAUAUCCUGUCUGCUGAAAUUCCUUAUCACAACAUCGCCUGUCAGCUGAACAAAUAGGUUAGGUUCUCCAAAUAAUACAUAAUUACAUAUGUAAAUAUAAAAUUACUGAUUAAAUCCCUGCGCCACAUGCAAUGGAGCUUCAUCCCCGGGGGAGGACAUUAACCUCUUGUGGUGUUCUGAGAGGUGCCACAGCCCCAGCACAGCAAGUGGCACAUGCAGCUGGUACUGGUGAAGUGGCACAAGCUCAGAGACAGGGCUUGAAUAAGCAAGGAGAUAUUUAUCUGCCUGACUAGAUGAGAUGAAAGCAUCUUCUGACACUUUUUGAAAGUAUUUGAGCAUUUAGUUCUGUUUAGCAAGCGGCUGGAAGCUUUUCUACUCUGCUUCAGAGCUUUUAAUGAAGCAUUGUGAUUCCCAUUGUGGUCAAUUGUUUGACACUUUUAUUAUUACUGGUAUGCAGAGCGUUUUUUAAUAUUUGACGGCUGGAGAAAGAAGUAUUUUGUGCAUUCAAAGUUCUAGCACAAAGCUGCUGUUUUCCAUUCUGCCUUUGUCUUUUAUUCUGGCUGAUGCAAAUAAACGAAAGACAGAACUGAUUAAAUUACAUUUGUUUACUUCU